UACGUAGGGACCGAGCGUUGUCCGGAAUCAUUGGGCGUAAAGAGCGUGUAGGCGGCUUGCUAAGUCUUGCGUGAAAUCUCGGGGCUCAACCCCGAGCGGUCGUGGGAAACUGGCAGGCUAGAGUGCGGGAGAGGAGAAUGGAAUUCCUGGUGUAGCGGUGAAAUGCGCAGAUAUCAGGAAGAACACCGGGGGCGAAGGCGGCUCGCUGGGCAUGGUCCGACGCUGAGGCGCGAAAGCGUGGGGGAGCGAACAGG
RNAcentral lists this ribosomal RNA (254 nucleotides) under uncultured bacterium. Its description in RNAcentral is "partial 16S ribosomal RNA". It matches the Rfam family "Bacterial small subunit ribosomal RNA", at positions 524 to 776 of the family's 1533-position model. The record is from RNAcentral.